GAUGAACGCUGGCAGCGUGCCUAAUACAUGCAAGUCGAACGCACAGCGAAAGGUGCUUGCACCUUUCAAGUGAGUAGCGAACGGGUGAGUAACACGUGGACAACCUGCCUCAAGGCUGGGGAUAACAUUUGGAAACAGAUGCUAAUACCGAAUAAAACUCAGUGUCGCAUGACACAAAGUUAAAAGGCGCAUUGGCGUCACCUAGAGAUGGAUCCG
RNAcentral lists this ribosomal RNA (216 nucleotides) under uncultured bacterium. RNAcentral's name for it is "partial 16S ribosomal RNA". It matches the Rfam family "Bacterial small subunit ribosomal RNA", at positions 28 to 233 of the family's 1533-position model. The record is from RNAcentral.